Molecule: RNA transcript, 6675 nt
Organism: Xenia sp. Carnegie-2017
Lineage: Eukaryota; Metazoa; Cnidaria; Anthozoa; Malacalcyonacea; Xeniidae
Gene name: solute carrier family 35 member F2-like
Exons: 9
Source: RefSeq, a predicted model, not a curated record
CAGUCUGGAGCACUGCGAAUUCUCUAUAAGGUUAUAUCCUGUGCAUUGCAUACAAUGUCAUAUUUUAAAGCUUCGUGCUCUUUCAAGAAUUAUGGUUGCAAGAUAUAAUUUUACGCUAAAAUUAUGGUUGCAAGAUCUGUGUUGUUCCAAGGGGAGGUUGUAUUUCUUCAUGAGAACCCAAUUUCGAUGAAUCAAAUCAACCGGACUACCGGAGUCGUCUUGAGUUUCCGACGUGCAAUUAUGGACGAAAAGGCGUAAUUUGAUCAUAAUCACGCUGGUAUUGCUUUAAAAAAUAUGAGUAGCCGGCUAAAUUCUGAAUCAGAGGAAUGGUUGUACCUCGAGCGCUUAAACAUGGAAGAGAAUAACAGCAGGAGAGGUUUUUGGUACUAUUGCUCCUGUGAAAAAAUAUUUACCUAUUUCAAGGAUAAAGUGCGACCUCAUCUUACAUGGAAAUUUUUAGGCAUACUGCUUUGGGGUCAGUUUUUAUCAUUGGUGUUAUGUGCCACAGGAGUUGCAGGUCAAAAAUUAGUCAUAGCGUGCGGCGUGAAGAUCCCUGCAUUUCAAGCAUUUUGCAGCUACGUUCUUCUGUCUAUGGUGUUUACGACUCAAAUUUUUUACAACUGGAAAGUGGGAAAGAAAAUUUUCAUCGAAAGGUGGUGGAAAUACAUUGUCAUUGCCGUAAUUGAUGCCUAUGCCAAUUUCUUAGUGUACACGGCAUAUCAAUACACAAGUCUCACCAGUGUUCAGCUUUUGGAUUGCCUUAGCAUACCUGUCGUGGUCCUUCUAUCAAUCGUGGUACUGAAAGCCAAGUAUGGAAUAGUUCAUUUUAUCGGUGUCUUUGUAUGUCUUGCUGGCAUCGGUCUCCUGGUUUAUGCCGACUUCAUAUCUCGAGGUGAAGGACCGAAGCCAGGUGAUCGACACAGUGAACUGCUCGGUGACUUGCUCGUGAUCGCGGGCGCAUGCUGUUACGCAGCCAGCAAUAUCGCCGAGGAAUUUGUCGUGAAAACGUCGACGAUCACCGAAUUUCUCGGAAUGUUGUCAUUUUUUGCAUCGUUUAUUUCCGGUGCUAACGUAAUGAUCUUCGAAUGGGAUGAUCUAUCUAGUGCUGAAUGGAAUAAAGAAACAAUUUUCUACCUUGCUCUGAGUGCUUUUGCGAUGUUUGCAUUCUACAUUCUCAUGCCAGUAUUGAUCCGCUACACCAGCGCGACAUUGGUUAAUCUCAUGUUGCUUACCGCUGACUUGUAUUCUUUGUUUGCUGGCUUAUAUCUAUUUGGAUACACGUUUUCGUAUCUGUACAUUAUAUCCUUCGUUACUAUCGUUUCGGGUGUUGUAAUCUUCAAAAUCUUUCCAACUCCUUCUCGACUGGAUCCAACAAAUGGCGAGGAAGAAUCGAACGUUGUUAGUGGGAACCUCUAUGGCUCCGUCGACGAGGAACAGGAAAGAAAUAUUCUUGCUGGUCAACAGUGAUGAUUUUCACAACUGGACGCGUGCUUUCUUGGCACGCCUUUCGAUCGGUUCUCCGCGGCAACUGGAAAUGUCAGCUCUGCUGAAGGAAUGAGAUAUGUGUCAAGAGAACAUGGUCCUUGUUGUGCCUAUCGUGCGUCAUUGCCAAACAUGCUGGAGCGAAAAACAGGAAACCCGAAUCGUCUCAACACUCGCCUGAUAUAGCUAGUUUAAUUAAUGUGAAGAGGUUUUUUGUAGAUAGGAAUGAAGGAACAACAGAAAACGAAACGUUCUUCGCAUGACUUCGAAACUUAAUGAACAUGAACGAAAAUAGCUUACGUCAAUGUGGGCCAUUGUGAUAACUGCCGAGAAGAAAAACAGUCCUCGCUUUUCGCUGCGUUGCUUCUAAUGCAAAAUUUAUCGCGUUUGUGUGCAAUGCGAUGAUGAACGGAUGAACGGAGAUAGUAAACAGGCUUUCUUCCAAAUAACCAAAAUUUAAUAUGUACAGGGGGUUGUUGACCGAAAAUGGUAUUGUUUUUCGUGAUGUUUGCUUAUAGACAAUCUUUUGUUGUCUUUGAAAACCUUUGUUAUUCACAAACAUUAGCACUUUUUUCAAAAACUGUUUUGAGUGGGAGCUUGUAAAAGACAUGAAAUCAUGUUUCGGUGUAUCCCCCACUGUUCAUACGCAAAUUCUUCUGCAUCGUUAAAAGCUCAUCGCAUACUCUAAGGUAAACUUAUCUGUUGAGUAGGUGGAAGAAAUGAGCUUUUUUGCUGUGUUUUUGAGCACGUCGAAGCGGCGAUAAGUUAUUUUGAAAACCGGUGGCCGUUACUCCGUGACGAACUUGGCUCUUGCGAAAGAAAUACAUCACCCAUAUUAAGUUUUUUUCUUAUUUUAAAUCCUCUUUAAUGCCCAACCCAACCAAAGUGUACCAUUUAAAGAACUAUCGUUUUUCAGAGGAUUAACCGUAGGUGCUUUAAAAUAAGCACUUAAGCAUGGCAUGCUCACUUUAACGAGAAAAAUUUUCAAGCAUAAAAUCUGCUUAAUGUGAGACACACAGAAUGCAUUGAAGUAAAAAACUGAUUGUAAUGAACGCAAACUAUGACAGUCUCCAAUUAAAUCAAGUAUUUAACCAUCAGUGGCGUUUUGAAAUCGUUUACUUUUUGUUACAGUCUUUACAUCUUUAUAUAUGCAUUUCAAGUCUUGAUGCCAGACAAAACGAUUGGUCGAGUUAGGAAUUUCCCUUUUGCAAGGGCUUAUUAAGAUGUCACGAAAUUCUCUAUGUUAACGGCGUCCACUCGAUAUUUAAUCAUGGUUGUAUUACCAUAAUGUUUGCACGAUUUGUGCUACUAAGAAUAGGGUAUAGCCAUAGGUUGACAACAUUAAUGAAAGGUUAAUUUAAUGAAUAUGAUUUAUGCCGAAGGACUUGAACAUACAGCCUCGGUGAAAUCCACCGUAUUCCAGAACAGUGGAAGGCAAAUUUAUUACUAAUUUGAAUAGACUGUAGGCAUAAAAUGUAGACUUUUCCUCGGCAAGGCCAAAUUAUAAUGAAUAACGAUGUCCGAUGUCAAGAUUUACAGUGAUACUGACAGAAUUCCGGAACCGCUAAAGGCAAAUUCAACACUAAUAUAUAUAUAUAUAUAUAUAUAGGCUUCAUAAAUGUCAUCUUGCCUUCGUAAGGCUAAAUUUAUGAAUAAAGUAGCCCGACAUCAAGAUUUGCUCCGAUAUUAAGCGAAGCCGGACCAGCCAAAGUCAAAUUUAAAAUAUCUUGGUACAGAGAUGGCAGCAUUGCACAUACAUUGGUGUCUCUUUCGUGCUGACUACAGUUUAUCGUUUGAGAAAAAAGAUCGAAUUUGGAAAAGAUGCGUCAUCCUUCCCCUAUUCGCGCAUGUACUGCGGUACUUGAAAGCCAUAUAGCUCGCGUGUGUACGCCCACGACCGGGCAUUGGACUGCCUGUUGUUUUUUUUUAUGAUAUUGUAUAUGGGUUUUUGUCGAAAAUGCCAAGUUGUUUUUCAUCGGUCGUUCGCAAGAAGACCAGCUGCCUGUCGUCUUCGAGAGAUAUGAAGGAAAUUUGCAUUUUCCUGGGAAAUCUGUCUGAGUAUUGAACACGGACUAUUUGUCAAUGAUGGUUUUAACUUGUUUUUAUUACUAUAUAUAUACGUAUGUUUGUAUAUUUACAGAUUUCCGGAAUCCCAAACAACGUGCAUGGUUACUCAUCCGAUAAAAUGUAAUUUCAUUUGCAGAACUUGGCGCGUUUUUGCGACGAUAAGGUUUUCUGACACGGUUUUUUUCGUGCGAUAACAGAUGUGAUUUAUGUUAGUAGAGUUUGCCUCUUGGGGCUUACGCAUGCUUAAGGCUGAUCCACAAAGAAUAUGUCUAGCCUGCUAAAAAUCGUCGUAUUGAAUCGAUGUUGCGCGUUUUAUGUAAAUGAGAAGGAGUUUUCGACCCAUUGAAUGUACAUGUUUAAGUACUAGGUGUGUGGUUCCGGUAGGCAAAAAUGUGUUUUUUGUUAGCCGUGUUAGCAAGAGUUCGUGAAAGCUGGAUUUUCAUUUUUCCUUAUCAUUUUUCGCAGUUCGUCGUGUUAAUCUUCUUUUCUGUUUUUUUCCCCGAUCUCUCAAUCAAUCGAAUUCGCGAUCAUCUCUUGUCGUCUUUGCUGCGCAGUCGUGUGGCCUUUGAACUGUGAGCGAUAAAAGAAUUUCUAAAACGAUAUACAGAUUAUGAAAUUUAUAGGACGUUUUAUCUAAAUAACAAAUGAAUCAUCACAUCGCCUGUUCUCAACACUAUGUGUUGUUGAAUUAUUGGCUAGGUGCAUAUGAUAACUUCAGAAGUGCAUUUUGGCAAAGCUGAGCGAUGAAUAAAAUACUUUUAAGAGUUUUUUUUCCUCGUUUUGCUUUCCUUCAUUUGCCAAAUUUCAAUUCGUUUUGUUAUACCGUAAAAUUAACAUUUGGCGUUUGAGCAUUUCAUUGUAAAUGCCUGCAUAUUUGUUUCGCGAGUUGUGAUCGUAAUUUCGAUGUGUAGAUUCGUGCAAAGUUUUGAUGUUCGCAUGGCCACAGCCUCACAACUUCGUGAAUCGGUUCAGGCAUUGUCUUACAGCUCUUUGGAAUUCGUUACUCAAAACCCCACGCUUUGCGAGGAAAUCCUGCUUGGAUUAGCUGGGUUGUUCGAAUAAAUUCUUGUUUGCAAAAAAAUGACGACGAGAUUAUAACAAUUACAGUUUCCCCUUUCCUCGCCUUUAAGGCACAUAAGUAACAAUUGCAUUCCGAUAAGGGCGUUCAUCGAGUAUGAGCACCGUGAAAAAGUCGAGUGAAUUUUCAAAAAUCACUAAAUGCUAUUUUAAACUGGACGUGAAAUUAUGAAAGGCGUUCGAAGUUUGCGAAAAUUUUGCAUUUUUACGUAAAUUGUUUCUAAAGAUAACCGAAAAAUCACUCCGAGUAAAACAUAUUUAGAAUAUCGGUUUUUUAAUUAAAAUCAUAUGACAUCGCAGUCUCAAUGUCCUUGCGAAUUAUUUCUUUGUCAAAUGCCGAUUCAAUAAUGUAAUCGUUGUAGCGCCCAAGCAAUUUUCUCUCUAAAAGCCGCCUGGGAUUUCUAAGUUUGGCGAAUUCAAUUCCGAUGCGAAAUUGAAAUAUUCGUCUUUUCUUACUUCGUGAGGUACAAAUUUGAGCAUUCGAUAAUAGAGAUAAGCUUGAAAAUCUCUCUUUUUGCGAUUAGCUGAUUAGUUUAAUAUAUUAAUGAAAUAAUUGAGACGUUUCGUUCCUCAUCACACGAAACUCUUUUGCGGUUUCUUCUUCAAACCGAAACAAAUGACGACUGUGCGCUAGCUUCGUUUACAAAACUAUGAUGCAUUCUUGAUCGGCGACUUUUUUAUUACUUCGAGAAGUUUUUGUGCCACCAUUGAAUGUGCUCGAAAAUCCAUCAAAACCAGAAUUCAUAGUUUGCGACAUUUCGUCCUAAUCACAUUCAAGCUGAAAGAUUUUUUUAACACAGGUUUUAGUGUGCGAAAAUGUAUAGCAUUCCUUCGUAGAUUACAAACUGACUAACACAAAUGCAUUAACGUUACGUUUUUCAACAUGCAUGUGCUUUGAAAUCGUUCAUCAAAUCCUUUCGCAAUUCAUGGCAAUGAUUAGCAAUUACAUUGCCUAAAUUGACAUUUGUGCAAAAUACGACAGCUAAUUCUUUGUACACGUUCAUAUGCAUCGAGGAAUGGUGGUAUGGAGGCACAUUUGCCUGCUUUAUGUCAAACUAAUUCAGCUUUCCGAGAUAGCCAUCGAUCGCGAGAACUUUAAAUAAAGCUUUGAGACAAAUUCUUGUGUUUAUUUUCAAUUUGUUUGAGUGGCUGCGACGAUGACGAAAAGCUUGUAUUUUUGAAAUGCUGAUCUAUUUUCGGAAUGUAUUUAUCACUUGUCGCGCUCCAUGUAUGGCCGCGCGAAAACAAGUGACUGUUUUUUGUCACUUUUUCGAACGGUAUAAAAGACUGCGUUUCUUCGACUCUCGUUCAUAACACGACCAACAGUCCAGCGGUUGACACAGCUCGAAAACUCUGAGGCAACGUCAAACAAACAGACGACGGAGAAACAUCGAAUUGUUUGGCGAUUCGAAGAUGAAGUUCAACAGCCUUCUCGCUUUUGUGAUGAUAUUCACUCUCAUUGCAAUGUUUUGUGACGAGCAAGUGUAUUGUAGUCGAGAAAUCGGUCAUCGGAUUGUGAAGAGAAGCUCCAAAAUGAACAAAGCAAGCAAAGCAGGAUUGUCUAACGCAGAUUCGUGUACUGUAAGAUUCCGAUUCCGAUGCUUGAGUAAAAAGAAGAAUGUUCCCGGUGCUCAGAGGUAUAGGAAGUUUGGUAAAAUUCGAAAACUGAGACGUUUGGUCAAAAAAAUGCUACUCCAAUUGUGAAGCACGCCAUGAAAUCACCACCGUCCACCGAUGUUUGUCAUUUUCUGCCGCUGUGAACGAAGAAAUGGUGGACAUAUAUUCGCUCCCGAGUGAGCGAAAAACAGACUCGGCAAAUUGAAUUGUUUUGUGACCAAGAAAAGGAGGCGAAGAAUUUAGAAUAGAACUAACGGAAAUUUUAGAAAUCACCCAAUCAUUAUAUGAUAGAAAUAGGUUCUUGAACAACAGCGAUUUCUUCUUUACAUUGAAAGUAGGCCGAAAUCGCUCGCUUAUUUGUAUAGAUACCAUUCAUUUUGUAAUUAAUUUUGCACGCAUGCGCAAUGAUCAAUAAAUUAUUACUCAUAAAAA